UACGUAGGGAGCAAGCGUUGUCCGGAAUCAUUGGGCGUAAAGCGCGCGUAGGUGGCUUGUAAGUCCGUUGUGAAAGUCAAAGGCUCAACCUUUGAAAGCCGAUGGAUACUGCGGAGCUAGAGUACGGAAGAGGCGAGUGGAAUUCCUGGUGUAGCGGUGGAAUGCGCAGAUAUCAGGAGGAACACCAAUAGCGAAGGCAGCUCGCUGGGACGUUACUGACACUGAGGCGCGAAAGCGUGGGGAGCGAACAGG
Molecule: ribosomal RNA, 252 nt
Filed under: uncultured bacterium
Lineage: Bacteria
Description: partial 16S ribosomal RNA
Rfam family: Bacterial small subunit ribosomal RNA
Source: RNAcentral